GGUUUGAGUAAAAAGAGUGACGAAUGGAGAACUAGGGUGCACUAAAGAGGACGGAGCCCCCCGAAAUGGCGGAGGAGAGACUUUGAAGCCCUAAUGUCCUGCGCGGCAACGCAGCGGGGGGGCCAGGGGAGCGAAACAUCCCAGUACCGGGCCCCCCACCCCUCCCCACCCCAUAGUGGGUGUUUAGGGGGGGGCACAGAAAAAAUCAAACGAGAUUCCGCAAGUGGCGGCGAGCGAAAGCGGACGGGCCCUUUCCCGUAGGCCCCCCGGCCUCGGCCGGGGGGCGGGGGUCGCCCACCCAGGGGCGGGCGAGUAGUGAUGGGAAGAUGGGUGGCCACACAUCCAAGGCUUAAUAACUAGUGUCACACCGAAAGAGGGGAGUACUGUGAAGGAAAGUUGAAAGAGACUUGAAAAGACCUUGAAAUGAGUCACUUAAAGCAGUUGUAACACAACGUACCUUUUGUAUAAUGGGUCCACGAGAUAAAAUUUGGCAAACUUAAAGUGCAAUCUCGCAGCCACCCCGCAGGGGAUGGCUGGGGGGGAUUGUUCUUGGCCCCUAAGGUGUAGUGAAAGCAAGGGGGGGGGAUACCCCCACCCCUCAGUCAAAUUUCCCGAAACCAAGUGAUCUAGCCAUGGGCAGUUUUUAGGAACGAACCGGUGGUUGUUGCAAAAACCUCGGAUGACCUGUGGUUAGGGGCGAAACGCCAAUCGAACUUGGAGAUAGCUGGUUUUCUGCGAAAACUAUUGAAGUAGUGCGUCCACAAUUCAAGGGACCGCCGGGGGCCGACGGCCCCCGGCGGUUGCAAGUUGGAUAAGUCGAAUCAAGAUUGGCAUUAUCCGAUGAGAAUGGCUUGGAAUGCGGUAAAGCCCGACCCCCCGAAGCCGGGGGAUUAACUAUGAAGAAAAAAAGCCAGAGUGGGACAGACAGACUGUGGGCGAUAAGGUCGACGGUCUAAAGGGGAGAAGCCCUAACCAGAAGUUAAAGUCAUUAAUAAAAAGGGCGGGGGGUCUUUAACCCCCCCCCGAUUUAGUGUAAAAGAGAUAUUGAGUUUAGACAAUGGAGAAGUAGGCUUGGAGCCAGCCACCUUUGAGAGAUGACGUAGCAGUUCACUCAAGAAAUUCUUUUAUCUCUAAAAUUAUGGUGGCUAAAGUUGAACUGAAACUCUGGGGGCGAAAUAACAAGGUGGCGGUUGCGAGGCCUUCUUCGAAGACUUGAACCCCCGCUCUUCGUUAUGUUUGUCCGGUAGCAGAACGUACUGUUAAUUGUUCAGUGAGAGCCCCACACGGCAUCAGAAGUGAUAAUGUGGACAUGAGUAAAAAAUCAUAGGAUCACUCCCCCCCUGGUUUCCCAUAUUAGUUAUGGGGUUAAACAGCCCCUAAAAUUGCAGCCCCAAAGGUUGCGUUAAUGGGGGGCCAUGAGUAAUAGACGCACAAAGUGCCAGGAAAGAAUUAUUCAAGAGCCAAAGGGGCGGCGAAUCAAAGACGCCGCCCCUCUUGCCCAAUGGGCAUCGGUAAAUCGAAGGUGGUAACCAUCUCCCAUAGAUGCUUUGCCAUCUUUCGGCGCCGCACUGUACUAAACUAACUAAAGUGGGGGAUAGUGAGGGGAUAAAUUUCCUUAAGGAACUCGGCAAAAUCCCAAUGGCCCACCAGGGCAUAUAUUGGAACACGGGCCUCGACUGUUUACCAAAAACAUAGCCCUCGGCCAAUAUGAAAAUAGAAGUAUGGAGGGUGAGGCCUGCCCAAUGGUUGUAUCUAAAAGCGGUUGAUAAAAGUCGACCUCGUAAGGACAAUUGAAUGGCCGCGGUAACACUGACCGUGAUAAUGUAGCGUAAUCAAUAGCCAAUUAAUUGUUGGCCAGUAUGAAUGGCGCCACGAAGGCCCCACUGUCUUAAGGAAAUUCCCAGUGAAAUUGAAUUCGUAGUGAAGAUGCUACGUCCAAUUUGUUAGACGAAAAGACCCCGUUGAGCUUUACUGGGGCACUUACACGGCCCCGGCCUCUAAGAGGCCGAAUUUAAAUGGGCGGCUUAGACUAUGUGGCAGCCCCCCCGUCGGGGCAGAUGAAACACCACUCCCCCAUGUCAAAGGGGCUAACCCCCCCCCUUGGGGGGGGGGGACAAUGUAAGUAGGACAGUUUGGUUGGGGCGACCGCCUUUUAGAGAGUAACGAAGGUGCGCUUAAGGUGCGUAAUUAAUGACUGAAGCCUGACUGCGAGGGGGACACCCCGAGCAGACACCCCCAAGCCCGCCUGCCCUAGCUGCCUUUUGGAUCAGCUAGGCCGGGCGGCGGUGGGGGUGGGCCAUAGUGACCCGUUAAUUUAGAGUGGAAUAGUUAACGAUCAACGAAUAAAAGUUACCACGGGGAUAACAGCGUAAUAUCGUUAGAGAGUUCACAUCGACGACGAUGUUUGCGACCUCGAUGUUGAAUUGCGGCAUCCUGGGGUGCAGCCGCUCCCAAGGGUUGGUCUGUUCGUCCAUUAAAGCCGUACAUGAUUUGAGUUAAAAGCGUGGUAACACAGCUUGGUUUCUAUCUACAAAUUGAAGAAACAUCGAUAUAACUAUCUUCUAGUACGAAAGGACCGAAGGAUUAGUGAUCCUCUUAUUUGGUAUAAGUUACGAUCAACCCAUUGACCUCAACCCCUCCCCCUCCCGGGGGGGGCGAGGGGUCUUUCAGCUAAUCACUGACCGCUUCUAAAGUGGGAAAGUCAUAUCGAAAUGUUUGGGCCCAUUAUAGGGGGGCUAAAACCCCUCCAUCACUAUGGAGGCCAGCAUAGCUGGGAUAA
Molecule: ribosomal RNA, 2779 nt
Filed under: Bergia puertoricense
Lineage: Eukaryota; Metazoa; Cnidaria; Anthozoa; Zoantharia; Parazoanthidae
Description: large subunit ribosomal RNA
Rfam family: Bacterial large subunit ribosomal RNA
Source: RNAcentral